CACAGGCAGGGAAGAAUUCUAGUAUACACGCUGCUCUCCUAAUGGUCUCUUCUCAUUUGCAAGUGUGAAGUCGCCCCUCCAAGCGAUGCUUAUGUAAAGAUUUGAACUCUGUGACUCUCUUGAUGCAGGAGAUGAGAUCUGUGGACAAAAUCUGUCAGGCAAAACAAGUGUGACAUGGAAAGAACGUCUGACGCGUUUCACGCCCCCUAGUGGCGCUUCAUCAGAGACUACAGGUGUUCCUAAACAUGGCCCUCUUAUACUGGGACAUAUUAAUUGCAUAUUUAACCCCUUAAUGUGAAACAAACAAACAUUAAAAGUAUAUGUAUUUAACAUAAAA
Molecule: long non-coding RNA, 337 nt
Organism: Bombina bombina (fire-bellied toad)
Lineage: Eukaryota; Metazoa; Chordata; Amphibia; Anura; Bombinatoridae
Exons: 2
Source: RefSeq, a predicted model, not a curated record